UGGGGAAUAUUGCACAAUGGGCGCAAGCCUGAUGCAGCCAUGCCGCGUGUAUGAAGAAGGCCUUCGGGUUGUAAAGUACUUUCAGCGGGGAGGAAGGGAGUAAAGUUAAUACCUUUGCUCAUUGACGUUACCCGCAGAAGAAGCACCGGCUAACUCCGUGCCAGCAGCCGCGGUAAUACGGAGGGUGCAAGCGUUAAUCGGAAUUACCGGGCGUAAAGCGCACGCAGGCGGUUUGUUAAGUCAGAUGUGAAAUCCCCGGGCUCAACCUGGGAACUGCAUCUGAUACUGGCAAGCUUGAGUCUCGUAGAGGGGGGUAGAAUUCCAGGUGUAGCGGUGAAAUGCGUAGAGAUCUGGAGGAAUACCGGUGGCGAAGGCGGCCCCCUGGACGAAGACUGACGCUCAGGUGCGAAAGCGUGGGGAGCAAACAGG
This 429-nucleotide ribosomal RNA is filed under the name Chloroflexota bacterium. RNAcentral's name for it is "Chloroflexi bacterium partial 16S ribosomal RNA". It matches the Rfam family "Bacterial small subunit ribosomal RNA", at positions 355 to 776 of the family's 1533-position model. The record is from RNAcentral. Lineage: Bacteria; Bacillati; Chloroflexota.